GCGAAAGUGGCGGAAUUGGCAGACGCGCUGGAUUCAGGUUCCAGUGGCCGCAAGGCUGUGGGGGUUCGACUCCCCCCUUUCGCAUCA
This 87-nucleotide transfer RNA is filed under the name Pseudomonadota bacterium. RNAcentral's name for it is "Proteobacteria bacterium tRNA-Leu". It matches the Rfam family "tRNA". From Rfam's summary of the family: Transfer RNA (tRNA) molecules are approximately 80 nucleotides in length. Lineage: Bacteria; Pseudomonadati; Pseudomonadota. The record is from RNAcentral.